AUUUGUAUGAGCUGUAUCAUAGGCUGAUAGUUAUUUACUCACUCCAAAAAAAAAAACAACUUGUUUAAGCUUUAGGCAGAAUAUGCUGAUAUUUAAUGGCUUAAAGAUAUCAUGUACAUGGUUUUCCUCUAAACCAAGCAUUGUGGAAUUGCAGCCCUUAUAAUGGACAAAAUGGAGAGUGAACUAAUUUUGGCUAUACUAUCUUAAAAUGUGCAAUUUCCUGGUAAAUCCUCAAUCAGCUCCCUUAUAAGAAUGAACCUGCUGUUUCUCCAACUAGCAUAAUAUGAUUGAGC
This is a non-coding RNA of Pelobates cultripes (western spadefoot toad), 293 nucleotides long. The record is from the annotation of a GenBank genome assembly. Lineage: Eukaryota; Metazoa; Chordata; Amphibia; Anura; Pelobatidae.